UACGGGGGGGGCAAGCAUUGUUCGGAAUUACUGGGCGUAAAGGGCUCGUAGGCGGCCAACUAAGUCAGACGUGAAAUCCCUCGGCUUAACCGGGGAACUGCGUCUGAUACUGGAUGGCUAGAGGUUGGGAGAGGGAUGCGGAAUUCCAGGUGUAGCGGUGAAAUGCGUAGAUAUCUGGAGGAACACCGGUGGCGAAGGCGGCAUCCUGGACCAAUUCUGACGCUGAGGAGCGAAAGCCAGGGGAGCAAACGGG
Molecule: ribosomal RNA, 253 nt
Filed under: uncultured bacterium
Lineage: Bacteria
Description: partial 16S ribosomal RNA
Rfam family: Bacterial small subunit ribosomal RNA
Source: RNAcentral